GCGAAAGGGUGAGGAACGCGUGAGUAAUCUGCCCAUAAGUUGGGAACAACAGUUGGAAACGACUGCUAAUACCGAAUGUGGCUAUUGACCCGCAUGGGUUUUUGGCUAAAGAUUUAUCGCUUAUGGAUGAGCUCGCGUCCCAUUAGCUAGUUGGUGAGGUAACGGCCCACCAAGGCUACGAUGGGUAGCUGGUCUGAGAGGAUGGUCAGCCACACUGGGACUGAGACACUGCCCAGACUCCUACGGGAGGCUGCAGUCGAGAAUCUUGGGCAAUGCGCGAAAGCGUGACCCAGCAAUGCCGCGUGCAUGAUGAAGGCCCUCGGGUCGUAAAAUGCUGUCUCCCGUGACGAAUAAUGACGGUAGCGGGGAAGGAAGCCACGGCUAACUACGUGCCAGCAGCCGCGGUAAUACGUAGGUGGCGAGCGUUGUUCGGAUUUAUUGGGCGUAAAGGGUCUGUAGGAGGUUUGUUAAAUACGAGGUGAAAUCCGGGGGCUCAACUUCCGAAUUGCCUUGUAGACUGAUGAACUAGAGUACUGGAGAGGUAAGCGGAAUACCAGGUGUAGCGGUGGAAUGCGUAGAUAUCUGGUAGAACACCAAUAGCGAAGGCAGCUUGCUGGACAGAAACUGACUCUGAAAGACGAAAGCAUGGGGAGCAAACAGGAUUAGAUACCCUGGUAGUCCAUGCCGUAAACGUUGUCAACUUGAUGUGGGCGGAUUUAGUCCUGUCCGUAUCGAAGCUAACGCGAUAAGUUGACCGCCUGGGAACUACGGCCGCAAGGCUAAAACUCAAAGGAAUUGACGGGGGCCCGCACAAGCGGUGGAGCAUGUGGCUUAAUUCGAGGCAACGCGAAGAACCUUACCCAGGCUUGACAUCUAGGGAACCCUUCGGAAAUGAAGGGGUGCCCUUCGGGGAGCCCUAAGACAGGUGCUGCAUGGCUGUCGUCAGCUCGUGCCGUGAGGUGUUCGGUUAAGUCCGGCAACGAGCGCAACCCGUGUCAUUAGUUGCCAACAGGUAAUGCUGGGGACUCUAAUGAGACUGCCUGUGUUAAGCAGGAGGAAGGCGCGGAUGACGUCAAGUCAGUAUGGCCCUUACGCCCAGGGCUGCACACGUGCUACAAUGGGGGGUACAAUGAGAAGCAAGUCCGCGAGGC
This 1151-nucleotide ribosomal RNA is filed under the name human gut metagenome. Its description in RNAcentral is "bacterial SSU rRNA". It matches the Rfam family "Bacterial small subunit ribosomal RNA", at positions 98 to 1263 of the family's 1533-position model. The record is from RNAcentral.